RNAcentral lists this ribosomal RNA (510 nucleotides) under Calliptamus barbarus. RNAcentral describes it as "partial large subunit ribosomal RNA". It matches the Rfam family "Bacterial large subunit ribosomal RNA", at positions 1830 to 2600 of the family's 2925-position model. The record is from RNAcentral. Lineage: Eukaryota; Metazoa; Arthropoda; Insecta; Orthoptera; Acrididae.
GUCCUCUUGAUGAUAUUUUGAGGUCUGGCCUGCUCACUGACAAGGUUUUGAAGAGCCGCGGUAUUUUGACCGUGCAAAGGUAGCAUAAUCAUUAGUCUCUUAAUUAGGGGCUGGAAUGAAUGGCUUGACGAGAAAUCAACUGUCUCUUAAUAAUUUUUAAAAUUUAACUUUUGAGUCAAAAGGCUUAAAUUUUUCUUUAGGACGAGAAGACCCUAUAGAGCUUAACAUUUUAUUUUUAUAUAGUUUUUAGUUGAUUUUUCUAUAUUUAAUGAUAAUGUUUUGUUGGGGUGACAUGAAGAAUAAUUAAACUCUUCAUUAUAAAAUCAUUGAUUUAUGUUUAUCAUGAUCCAUAAUUUAUGAUCAUAAGAUUAAGUUACCUUAGGGAUAACAGCGUAAUUGUUUUCGAGAGCUCAUAUCGACAAAGCAGAUUGCGACCUCGAUGUUGGAUUAAGAAAAAUUUUGGGUGCAGGAGCCCAAUAAUUAGGUCUGUUCGACCUUUAAAUUCUUACA